UGCAAGUCGAACGAGAACGGAUUAUAGCUUGCUAUAAUUGUCAGCUAAGUGGCGCACGGGUGAGUAAUGUAUAGGUAAUAUGCCUCUUACUAAGGGAUAACAAAUGGAAACGUUUGCUAAUACCUUAUACUCCUUAUUAACAGAAGUUAAUAAGGGAAAGAUUUAUUGGUAAGAGAUUAGCCUGUAUUGUAUCAGUUAGUUGGUGGGGUAAUGGCUUACCAAGACUAUGACACAUAACUGGUUUGAGAGGAUGAUCAGUCGCACUGGAACUGAGACACGGUCCAGACUCCUACGGGAGGCAGCAGUGGGGAAUAUUGCACAAUGGACGAAAGUCUGAUGCAGCAACGCCGCGUGGAGGAUGACACAUUUCGGUGCGUAAACUCCUUUUAUAUGAGAAGAUAAUGACGGUAUUAUAUGAAUAAGCACCGGCUAACUCCGUGCCAGCAGCCGCGGUAAUACGGGGGGUGCAAGCGUUACUCGGAAUCACUGGGCGUAAAGAGCAUGUAGGCGGAUUAAUAAGUUUGAAGUGAAAUCCUAUAGCUUAACUAUAGAACUGCUUUGAAAACUGUUAAUCUAGAAUGUGGGAGAGGUAGAUGGAAUUUCUGGUGUAGGGGUAAAAUCCGUAGAGAUCAGAAGGAAUACCGAUUGCGAAGGCGAUCUACUGGAACAUUAUUGACGCUGAGAUGCGAAAGCGUGGGGA
This 700-nucleotide ribosomal RNA is filed under the name uncultured bacterium. RNAcentral's name for it is "bacterial SSU rRNA". It matches the Rfam family "Bacterial small subunit ribosomal RNA", at positions 56 to 767 of the family's 1533-position model. The record is from RNAcentral.